Molecule: ribosomal RNA, 1443 nt
Filed under: uncultured organism
Description: 16S ribosomal RNA
Rfam family: Bacterial small subunit ribosomal RNA
Source: RNAcentral
UCAGGAUGGACGCUAGCUACAGGCUUAACACAUGCAAGUCGAGGGGCAUCAGGAAGAAAGCUUGCUUUCUUUGCUGGCGACCGGCGCACGGGUGAGUAACACGUAUCCAACCUGCCCUUUACUCGGGGAUAGCCUUUCGAAAGAAAGAUUAAUACCCGAUAGCAUAAUGAUUCCGCAUGGUUUCAUUAUUAAAGGAUUCCGGUAAAGGAUGGGGAUGCGUUCCAUUAGGUUGUUGGUGAGGUAACGGCCUACCAAGCCUUCGAUGGAUAGGGGUUCUGAGAGGAAGGUCCCCCACAUUGGAACUGAGACACGGUCCAAACUCCUACGGGAGGCAGCAGUGAGGAAUAUUGGUCAAUGGGCGCUAGCCUGAACCAGCCAAGUAGCGUGAAGGAUGAAGGCUCUAUGGGUCGUAAACUUCUUUUAUAUAAGAAUAAAGUGCAGUAUGUAUACUGUUUUGUAUGUAUUAUAUGAAUAAGGAUCGGCUAACUCCGUGCCAGCAGCCGCGGUAAUACGGAGGAUCCGAGCGUUAUCCGGAUUUAUUGGGUUUAAAGGGAGCGUAGGUGGACUGGUAAGUCAGUUGUGAAAGUUUGCGGCUCAACCGUAAAAUUGCAGUUGAUACUGUCAGUCUUGAGUACAGUAGAGGUGGGCGGAAUUCGUGGUGUAGCGGUGAAAUGCUUAGAUAUCACGAAGAACUCCGAUUGCGAAGGCAGCUCACUGGACUGCAACUGACACUGAUGCUCGAAAGUGUGGGUAUCAAACAGGAUUAGAUACCCUGGUAGUCCACACAGUAAACGAUGAAUACUCGCUGUUUGCGAUAUACAGUAAGCGGCCAAGCGAAAGCAUUAAGUAUUCCACCUGGGGAGUACGCCGGCAACGGUGAAACUCAAAGGAAUUGACGGGGGCCCGCACAAGCGGAGGAACAUGUGGUUUAAUUCGAUGAUACGCGAGGAACCUUACCCGGGCUUAAAUUGCAGUGGAAUGAUGUGGAAACAUGUCAGUGAGCAAUCACCGCUGUGAAGGUGCUGCAUGGUUGUCGUCAGCUCGUGCCGUGAGGUGUCGGCUUAAGUGCCAUAACGAGCGCAACCCUUAUCUUUAGUUACUAACAGGUUAUGCUGAGGACUCUGGAGAGACUGCCGUCGUAAGAUGUGAGGAAGGUGGGGAUGACGUCAAAUCAGCACGGCCCUUACGUCCGGGGCUACACACGUGUUACAAUGGGGGGUACAGAAGGCAGCUAGCGGGUGACCGUAUGCUAAUCCCAAAAGCCUCUCUCAGUUCGGAUCGAAGUCUGCAACCCGACUUCGUGAAGCUGGAUUCGCUAGUAAUCGCGCAUCAGCCACGGCGCGGUGAAUACGUUCCCGGGCCUUGUACACACCGCCCGUCAAGCCAUGGGAGCCGGGGGUACCUGAAGUACGUAACCGCAAGGAUCGUCCUAGGGUAAAACUG